RNAcentral lists this transfer RNA (74 nucleotides) under Candidatus Gottesmanbacteria bacterium RIFCSPLOWO2_01_FULL_46_9. RNAcentral describes it as "tRNA-Gln". It matches the Rfam family "tRNA". Rfam says of the family: Transfer RNA (tRNA) molecules are approximately 80 nucleotides in length. Lineage: Bacteria; Candidatus Gottesmaniibacteriota. The record is from RNAcentral.
UGGGAGAUCGUCCAAGGGUAGGACACGAGACUUUGGAUCUCGGUAUCUAGGUUCGAAUCCUAGUCUCCCAGCAA